CGGGGUGCAGCAGGCGCGAAAACUUUACACUGCGGGAAACCGUGAUAAGGGGACACCGAGUGCCAGCAUCAUAUGCUGGCUGUCCAGGUGUGUAAAAUACACCUGUCAGCAAGGGCCGGGCAAGACCGGUGCCAGCCGCCGCGGUAACACCGGCGGCCCGAGUGGUGAUCGUGAUUAUUGGGUCUAAAGGGUCCGUAGCCGGUUUGGUCAGUCCUCCGGGAAAUCUGACGGCUCAACCGUUAGGCUUUCGGGGGAUACUGCCAGGCUUGGAACCGGGAGAGGUAAGAGGUACUACAGGGGUAGGAGUGAAAUCUUGUAAUCCCUGUGAGACCACCUGUGGCGAAGGCGUCUUACCAGAACGGGUUCGACGGUGAGGGACGAAAGCUGGGGGCACGAACCGGAUUAGAUACCCGGGUAGUCCCAGCCGUAAACGAUGCUCGCUAGGUGUCAGGCAUGGCGCGACCGUGUCUGGUGCCGCAGGGAAGCCGUGAAGCGAGCCACCUGGGAAGUACGGCCGCAAGGCUGAAACUUAAAGGAAUUGGCGGGGGAGCAC
Molecule: ribosomal RNA, 553 nt
Filed under: uncultured archaeon
Lineage: Archaea
Description: bacterial SSU rRNA
Rfam family: Archaeal small subunit ribosomal RNA
Source: RNAcentral